GAUGAACGCUGGCGGCGUGCCUAAUACAUGCAAGUCGAGCGAACAGACGAGGAGCUUGCUCCUCUGACGUUAGCGGCGGACGGGUGAGUAACACGUGGAUAACCUACCUAUAAGACUGGGAUAACUUCGGGAAACCGGAGCUAAUACCGGAUAAUAUAUUGAACCGCAUGGUUCAAUAGUGAAAGACGGUUUUGCUGUCACUUAUAGAUGGAUCCGCGCCGCAUUAGCUAGUUGGUAAGGUAACGGCUUACCAAGGCGACGAUGCGUAGCCGACCUGAGAGGGUGAUCGGCCACACUGGAACUGAGACACGGUCCAGACUCCUACGGGAGGCAGCAGUAGGGAAUCUUCCGCAAUGGGCGAAAGCCUGACGGAGCAACGCCGCGUGAGUGAUGAAGGUCUUCGGAUCGUAAAUCUCUGUUAUUAGGGAAGAACAAAUGUGUAAGUAACUAUGCACGUCUUGACGGUACCUAAUCAGAGAGCCACGGCUAACUACGUG
Molecule: ribosomal RNA, 497 nt
Filed under: uncultured bacterium
Lineage: Bacteria
Description: partial 16S ribosomal RNA
Rfam family: Bacterial small subunit ribosomal RNA
Source: RNAcentral